Molecule: ribosomal RNA, 253 nt
Filed under: uncultured bacterium
Lineage: Bacteria
Description: partial 16S ribosomal RNA
Rfam family: Bacterial small subunit ribosomal RNA
Source: RNAcentral
UACGAAGGGGGCUAUCGUUGUUCGGAAUUACUGGGCGUAAAGGGCGCGUAGGCGGUACUUCAAGUCAGGCGUGAAAGCCCCGGGCUCAACCUGGGAACCGCGCUUGAGACUGGAGAACUAGAGUUCGGGAGAGGAUGGUGGAAUUCCCAGUGUAGAGGUGAAAUUCGUAGAUAUUGGGAAGAACACCGAUGGCGAAGGCAGCCAUCUGGACCGACACUGACGCUGAGGCGCGAAAGCGUGGGGAGCAAACAGG